Molecule: non-coding RNA, 28 nt
Filed under: Mus musculus (house mouse)
Lineage: Eukaryota; Metazoa; Chordata; Mammalia; Rodentia; Muridae
Source: RNAcentral
UGAUCUAUCAGGUAAUGGUAUGUGCCUU